UGAUGAUGGUGGGGGCAAUUUUUGAGCAUACCCUUAAAUCUUUCCCAAGCUUGGAAAAGAUUUUCUCUUUUUUUGGGCAUGAAACUCAGAAUCUCGCUUCUUAAAUG
Capsicum annuum is the source of this 107-nucleotide non-coding RNA. NCBI's taxonomy places the organism in Eukaryota, Viridiplantae, Streptophyta, Magnoliopsida, Solanales, Solanaceae. The record is from Rfam.